GCGUGCAUUAGCUAGUUGGUAAGGUAAAGGCUUACCAAGGCGAUGAUGCAUAGCCGAGUUGAGAGACUGAUCGGCCACAUUGGGACUGAGACACGGCCCAAACUCCUACGGGAGGCAGCAGUAGGGAAUCUUCCACAAUGGACGCAAGUCUGAUGGAGCAACGCCGCGUGAGUGAAGAAGGUUUUCGGAUCGUAAAGCUCUGUUGUUGGUGAAGAAGGAUAGAGGUAGUAACUGGCCUUUAUUUGACGGUAAUCAACCAGAAAGUCACGGGCUAACUACGUGCCAGCAGCCGCGGUAAAAU
RNAcentral lists this ribosomal RNA (301 nucleotides) under uncultured Lactobacillus sp. RNAcentral describes it as "bacterial SSU rRNA". It matches the Rfam family "Bacterial small subunit ribosomal RNA", at positions 234 to 526 of the family's 1533-position model. The record is from RNAcentral. Lineage: Bacteria; Bacillati; Bacillota; Bacilli; Lactobacillales; Lactobacillaceae.